GAUCACCCUCGCGCCCGACAGAGUCGCUGUAAUGAAUGCUCGGGAAGUUAUGGAGAGAAAGGAGACGAUCCCAGUGAUUAAUGCCAAAGCCCUGUUGCCUGGGGAGAGGGUGAUGUUUGACUUUCUUGUACAGCUGCAGUUUGUGUGGUGAAGGUGCUCCCACAAUGUGGUUGGAUCCCAGUGAUUAAUGCCAAAGCCCCAUUGCCUGUGGAGAGGGUGAUGUUUGACUUCCUUGUACAGCUGCAGUUUGUGUGGUGAAGGUGCUCCCACAAUGUGG
Hemiscyllium ocellatum (epaulette shark) is the source of this 277-nucleotide long non-coding RNA. RefSeq lists it as uncharacterized. The transcript has 3 exons. NCBI's taxonomy places the organism in Eukaryota, Metazoa, Chordata, Chondrichthyes, Orectolobiformes, Hemiscylliidae. The record is from RefSeq and is a predicted model, not a curated record.